UACGGAGGGUGCGAGCGUUAAUCGGAAUUACUGGGCGUAAAGCGCACGCAGGCGGUUUGUUAAGCUAGAUGUGAAAGCCCCGGGCUCAACCUGGGAUGGUCAUUUAGAACUGGCAGACUAGAGUCUUGGAGAGGGGAGUGGAAUUCCAGGUGUAGCGGUGAAAUGCGUAGAUAUCUGGAGGAACAUCAGUGGCGAAGGCGACUCCUGGCCAAAGACUGACGCUCAUGUGCGAAAGUGUGGGUAGCGAACAGG
This 252-nucleotide ribosomal RNA is filed under the name uncultured bacterium. RNAcentral's name for it is "partial 16S ribosomal RNA". It matches the Rfam family "Bacterial small subunit ribosomal RNA", at positions 524 to 776 of the family's 1533-position model. The record is from RNAcentral.